UCGAGAAUCAUUCGCAAUGGGGGAAACCCUGACGGUGCGACGCCGCGUGGAGGAUGAAGGCUUUCGGGUUGUAAACUCCUGUCACCAUAGAACAAAGGUGCCUAUCUAAUCACUAGGCAUUUGAUGGUAUAUGGAGAGGAAGGGACGGCUAACUCUGUGCCAGCAGCCGCGGUAAUACAGAGGUCCCGAGCGUUGUUCGGAUUCACUGGGCGUAAAGGGUGUGUAGGAGGCUUGGAAAGUCAGUUGUGAAAUCUCACUGCUCAACGGUGAAACUGCAACUGAUACUCCCAAGCUAGAGGAUCGGAGGGGCAAGCGGAAUUCCAGGUGUAGCAGUGAAAUGCGUAGAUAUCUGGAGGAACACCGGUGGCGAAGGCGGCUUGCUAGACGAUUCCUGACUCUGAAACACGAAAGCUGGGGGAGCAAACGGGAUUAGAUACCCCCGUAGUCC
Molecule: ribosomal RNA, 448 nt
Filed under: uncultured prokaryote
Description: bacterial SSU rRNA
Rfam family: Bacterial small subunit ribosomal RNA
Source: RNAcentral